Molecule: ribosomal RNA, 663 nt
Filed under: uncultured bacterium
Lineage: Bacteria
Description: bacterial SSU rRNA
Rfam family: Bacterial small subunit ribosomal RNA
Source: RNAcentral
AGUUUGAUCCUGGCUCAGGAUGAACGCUAGCGGCAGGCCUAAUACAUGCAAGUCGAACGGGACUAAGUAGCAAUACUUAGUCUAGUGGCGCACGGGUGCGUAACGCGUAUGCAACCUACCUUUUAUUGGGGGAUAGCCCGUCAAAAGACGGAUUAAUACCGCAUAAUAUCCUUUGAUGGCAUCUGAAGAGGAUUAAAGCUACGGCGAUAAAAGAUGGGCAUGCGUGACAUUAGCUAGUUGGUUGAGGUAACGGCUCACCAAGGCUACGAUGUCUAGGGGUUCUGAGAGGAUGAUCCCCCACACUGGUACUGAGAUACGGACCACACUCCUACGGGAGGCAACAGUAGGGAAUAUUGGGCAAUGGACGCAAGUCUGACCCAGCCAUGCCGCGUGCAGGACGAAGGCCUUCUGGGUUGUAAACUGCUUUUUUACGGAAAGAAAAAACUCGUGCGUGAGGAACUGACGGUACCGUAAGAAUAAGCACCGGCUAACUCCGUGCCAGCAGCCGCGGUAAUACGGAGGGUGCAAGCGUUGUCCGGAUUUAUUGGGUUUAAAGGGUGCGUAGGCGGCCUAUUAAGUCAGUGGUGAAAGCCCAUCGCUCAACGAUGGAACUGCCAUUGAUACUGAUAGGCUUGAGUACAGACGAGGUUGGCGGAUUUGAUG